AAGUCUAGAUCAAGAGGUAUAAGACUAAACUUUCACUUUGUUCUUUACUAAAAUGUUUAGAUGCAUUAUAUAUAAACCUAUGAACCUUGAAGGGGAUUUGCAUGACUAUAGCUUUGAUUUUAUUUGAUAAAUUGCUUCCGUUGCUCAUGUACAUAAAUUUUGAAUUGUAUAUGCAUGCUAGUCAUUUAGAAAUCCCAUAUGUUAAACUCUUAUUUUUCCAUUCAAGUAUGUGAUACUAAGUGUUACAACAAACAUGGUUCACAUAUCAAAAACAUGGAUCCCUUCAUGCAUAGCAAAACAUUCAUAAGCAUCACUCAUAUCAAUCAACAUAAACAUUAUACAUUCCAACACAUUCAUACAUAAACAUCAUACAUUCCAACACAUUCAUAUAUAAACAUCAUACAUUCCAACACAUCCAUACAUAAGCCAACUGUGCUUCGAAAAGGUUCAACAUACUUUGUAUCUUCGACACUUACUACAAUGUGCCUCGACACCUUGCCCUUAUUCUCACCAACAUGUGAUGAAAUGUGAAGAAGAAACUCAUCUUCAUGCCACCAACCAGGUGAUGAAAUGUACAACCCGUACUCAUCUUCAU
Molecule: long non-coding RNA, 595 nt
Filed under: Malus domestica (apple)
Lineage: Eukaryota; Viridiplantae; Streptophyta; Magnoliopsida; Rosales; Rosaceae
Description: long non-coding RNA (MDOM_LNC015366)
Source: RNAcentral